Long non-coding RNA from Sardina pilchardus (European sardine), 413 nucleotides. RefSeq lists it as uncharacterized. The transcript is spliced from 4 exons. The record is from RefSeq and is a predicted model, not a curated record. Lineage: Eukaryota; Metazoa; Chordata; Actinopteri; Clupeiformes; Clupeidae.
CAAAAUGUUGAGUUUCAGGAGUUUCUCAAUAGAUGCACCGAGUGGCUGAACCUGCCCUCAGCGGCCCGCAGACUCUUCGAGGAGGACGGGAAGGAGGCGUUCCAGCUCGCCGGACUGCAGAGAGACCAGCUGGUGUACGUGUCAUGUGGGGAGCCGUGGGUGAGCCCUCAGCACAGACAGACAGAGGCCCAGAGACGCGUGGCAGCGCUGCGGCUGGAGUGGGACGUGGCCCGCAUACGGCACUACUGCGCCCUGAGGAGCCCCCGCGACUUUGUCCUUGAUGUUGAAGGACAGCCACAGGAGGGCUCUGCUCUUCUAGUGCGGCCGUACCGCCUCAGCCCCGAAGACACGACCCCUGAGCAGAGUCAAGCCUCUCAAGAGCGUUCGGCCUCCUCCUCCGACUCCUCCGACUU